GGAAAGACCCCGUGCACCUUUACUGCAUCUUGUUAUUGUUUUAAGAAAAAAAAUAUGUAGAAAUAGGUGGGAGUUUAUACAUUCUUGAAAUACCACUAAUUUUUUUUCGAGAAACUAAUCUGUAUAGAGACAGUAAUAGGUUGGUAGUUUGGCUGGGGCGGCCUCCUCCUAAAAAGUAACGGAGGAGUACAAAAGGUAAGCUCAAAUUAUUUAAAAUUAAUUGAGGAGCGCAAUGGUAAAAGCUUGCUUAACUGAAAGAUUUAUCGAUCUAUCAGGAACGAAAGUUGGUCAUAGUGACCCAAUAGUACUUUGUGGAAAGGCUAUUGCUCAACAAAUAAAAGGUACGCCGGGGAUAACA
RNAcentral lists this ribosomal RNA (358 nucleotides) under Cafeteria roenbergensis. Its description in RNAcentral is "partial Bacterial large subunit ribosomal RNA". It matches the Rfam family "Bacterial large subunit ribosomal RNA", at positions 2082 to 2479 of the family's 2925-position model. Lineage: Eukaryota; Bigyra; Bicosoecida; Cafeteriaceae. The record is from RNAcentral.